Molecule: ribosomal RNA, 222 nt
Filed under: uncultured bacterium
Lineage: Bacteria
Description: partial 16S ribosomal RNA
Rfam family: Bacterial small subunit ribosomal RNA
Source: RNAcentral
UACGAAGGGGGCUAGCGUUGUUCGGAAUUACUGGGCGUAAAGCGCGCGCAGGCGGUCCUUCAAGUCAGGGGUGAAAGCCCAGGGCUCAACCCUGGAAUGGCCUUUGAGACUAGAGGACUUGGGUACGGGAGAGGUGAGUGGAAUUCCGAGUGUAGAGGUGAAAUUCGUAGAUAUUCGGAAGAACACCAGUGGCGAAGGCGGCUCACUGGCCCGUUACCGACG